GGAGCAUUAGCUCAGUUGGUAGAGCACUUGACUUUUAAUCAAGUUGUC
RNAcentral lists this transfer RNA (48 nucleotides) under Blautia sp. Its description in RNAcentral is "tRNA-Lys". It matches the Rfam family "tRNA", at positions 1 to 46 of the family's 71-position model. From Rfam's summary of the family: Transfer RNA (tRNA) molecules are approximately 80 nucleotides in length. Their secondary structure includes four short double-helical elements and three loops (D, anti-codon, and T loops). The record is from RNAcentral. Lineage: Bacteria; Bacillati; Bacillota; Clostridia; Lachnospirales; Lachnospiraceae.